UACGGAGGGGGCUAGCGUUGUUCGGAAUUACUGGGCGUAAAGAGCGCGCAGGCGGCUGGUCAAGUCCGAUGUGAAAUCUCCCGGCUCAACUGGGAAACUGCAUCGGAAACUGAUCGGCUUGAAGGUGGGAGAGGGUAGUGGAAUUCCCGGUGUAGUGGUGAAAUGCGUAGAUAUCGGAAGGAACACCAGUGGCGAAGGCGACUACCUGGCCCAUUCUUGACGCUGAGGCGCGAAAGCUAGGGGAGCGAACGGG
RNAcentral lists this ribosomal RNA (253 nucleotides) under uncultured bacterium. RNAcentral's name for it is "partial 16S ribosomal RNA". It matches the Rfam family "Bacterial small subunit ribosomal RNA", at positions 524 to 776 of the family's 1533-position model. The record is from RNAcentral.